Molecule: ribosomal RNA, 277 nt
Filed under: uncultured eukaryote
Lineage: Eukaryota
Description: partial 18S ribosomal RNA
Rfam family: Eukaryotic small subunit ribosomal RNA
Source: RNAcentral
UAGUCAUAUGCUUGUCUAAAAGAUUAAGCCAUGCAUGUCUAAGUAUAAACAUUUAUACUGUGAAACUGCGGACGGCUCAUUAAAUCAGUUAUAGUUUACUUGAUCAUAUUUCUUACUUGGAUAACCGUAGUAAUUCUAGAGCUAAUACAUGCGAAAAAUCUGGUCUCUUUUGAGAUAGGAUGAAUUUAUUAGAUUAGAACCGGCGCAGGGUUUUUAAUCCUGAGUUAUGGUGAUUCAUAAUAACUAAUCGAAUCGCAAAGACUUUUUGUCAGCGAUG